This 139-nucleotide ribosomal RNA is filed under the name Neogobius melanostomus (round goby). RNAcentral describes it as "5.8S ribosomal RNA (ENSNMLG00000002959.1)". It matches the Rfam family "5.8S ribosomal RNA". Rfam says of the family: 5.8S ribosomal RNA (5.8S rRNA) is a component of the large subunit of the eukaryotic ribosome. Lineage: Eukaryota; Metazoa; Chordata; Actinopteri; Gobiiformes; Gobiidae. The record is from Rfam by way of RNAcentral.
UACUCUUAGCAUGGUUCACUCGGCUCGUGCGCCGAUGAAGAACGCAGCUAGCUGCGAGAACUAAUGUGAAUUGCAGGACACAUUGAUCAUCGACACUUCAAACACGGUUCCUCCCGGGACUACGCCUGUCUGAGGGAAA